RNAcentral lists this ribosomal RNA (321 nucleotides) under uncultured eukaryote. Its description in RNAcentral is "partial 18S ribosomal RNA". It matches the Rfam family "Eukaryotic small subunit ribosomal RNA", at positions 1470 to 1796 of the family's 1831-position model. The record is from RNAcentral.
CCCUUAGAUGUUCUGGGCCGCACGCGUGCUACACUGAGUGGAUCAGCGGGUCAGGUUGCGCGAAAGUGUUUCCUAAUCUUUAAAUCCGCUCGUGAUGGGGAUUGACGGUUGCAAUUUUCCGUCAUGAACGAGGAAUACCUUGUAAGCGCGGGUCAUCAUCCCGCGCUGAAUACGUCCCUGCCCUUUGUACACACCGCCCGUCGCUCCUACCGAUUGAGUGGUCCGGUGAGGCUUUGGGAUCUGAGCGGAAAGAGCGUUCGCUGUUUCUGCCCGGAAAACUCAGUCGAACCUUAUCAUUUAGAGGAAGGAGAAGUCGUAACA